GACGAACCGUGCAAACGUUGUUCGGAAUCACUGGGCUUAAAGGGCGCGUAGGCGGGUGGUCAAGUCAGGGGUGAAAUCCUCCCGCUCAACGGGAGAAUAGCUUUUGAUACUGGCCAUCUUGAGGGGGGUAGGGGCAUGUGGAACUUCCGGUGGAGCGGUGAAAUGCGUAGAUAUCGGAAGGAACGCCGGUGGCGAAAGCGACGUGCUGGACCCUUUCUGACGCUGAGGCGCGAAAGCCAGGGGAGCAAACGGG
RNAcentral lists this ribosomal RNA (253 nucleotides) under uncultured bacterium. RNAcentral describes it as "partial 16S ribosomal RNA". It matches the Rfam family "Bacterial small subunit ribosomal RNA", at positions 524 to 776 of the family's 1533-position model. The record is from RNAcentral.